CCAAAGUGACUUUAUAGUGUUCUUUAAAAAGAAAAUUAGAAGUCUCAACAAGAAUAAUCCUAGUCCCUGGGACACAACAGAUAAUGAAGAAUAUGUUGAAGAAUAUUUUAUGUGCAAAUCUUUGGUGGGCUGUUAUCUGAGGCUUCACCACCAGCCACUAUGCUAGCCACAGGGACAGACAUGCGGCCUCACUGUUCCCAGAUCUA
Molecule: long non-coding RNA, 206 nt
Organism: Hyaena hyaena (striped hyena)
Lineage: Eukaryota; Metazoa; Chordata; Mammalia; Carnivora; Hyaenidae
Exons: 3
Source: RefSeq, a predicted model, not a curated record